Molecule: small RNA, 2398 nt
Filed under: Histoplasma capsulatum var. duboisii H88
Lineage: Eukaryota; Fungi; Ascomycota; Eurotiomycetes; Onygenales; Ajellomycetaceae
Description: Histoplasma capsulatum H88 hypothetical RNA
Source: RNAcentral
UUAACCUCCUUUGCAAGUCCACAAUUUGACCAAUCCACUGGACAUUCAGUUUGGGUCUCCUCGUUGUCAGCCUCAUCUAUGCUGGUAUACUGCCAAGCGACGGGAAUCUCGUCACUACUCCCGAUCACCCGAUCCCCCAACCAGACUUCGAAUGUCAGGCACGACGAUUCGAUGUAUAAACGCACUUCAUACUGGAUUUUCUGAAGUUCUGCUUUCCGGAUUGAGCUCCACCGCUUCUGUUUAGCAGGCUGGGCAUGCUGUCGUAGAAAUUCCCCGCCUACUCUUGACUCGAUCUCACAUAUAACCCAAGCAUCACCUUCGUCGAUUGUAUGUGGGAGGCGGGCAGCAGGAGACCUGGACAUGGCGAUCAAAAUUUUCCAGUCUAUCUCGGAACUGGUUGCUUCGAAAACCCUAUCCAACUUCUGGCAUAUGCAUCGGUGCUGGAUAAUUUUACCUCGUUCGAGAAGCCAUUGGACCUGGUUGACGAUAUACCGCCUCCCAUCAUAGGGGCUUAUUUUCACAUGGCUAUUGUAGCUGGGAGGAGUUUUACCUGUGCGAACUCUGUUAUUGACCACUAUGCCGUAGGAGCUGGAACUACAACGAGUGGAUAGGACGGAGUGUCCAUGUCUCAAACGGUGAACUCGGUCGAUUACCAGUCCGUGGGAGACCGCUAAUUGGCUAUAGGGAAGGUCAGCGCGCCAUAUUCUUUAAAAAAAUUGAUAUUAAAUCGCUUCCUCACGGUUCCUUUGAAAUUAAAAUCCCUUUGGCUUCUCUCCCGCAACCAUACUUGGUGAUAAACCAAUCCUGAACGUAGCGAGAGGAACCUAGGCCGCCGGAAAGGAUCAUAUGUGUCUGUUGACAGUUAAUCGGAUCCGACACUCCAACAACAAAAGAAGAGAAAAAAAAAACGUAUAACGUACCACUUCUACUGGGGGCGUGAUAUCACCAACACGUUGAAGCUGCUCAUCAAUGCGCUGGCUAUAACUAGGUAAACAUAACAUACGUUGGUAAACUUACUUUUCCAGUACUAUCCUUCCAUUUUCGAUACCCGCUUCUGGGCUGUUGUAGGAUAUCGGAAGGCCAGGGAUGCGAAGGGCAAGUCUCCGUAAGUCUGUCAUUGCUCUACACCCAUAAUUCAACUUCAAGAUUUGAAAAUCGCCUUUUGUCAAUUUGCGUGCUGCAGACUUCGGAGACCAACGGCGGUCAUCACUUUCGUAAUCGAUCCUUUCCAAACGGCUUUCAACUUCCCUUUGGAACGCCUGGUCGAUCUGCACGGAACCAAAUGGUUUUCCUACACAGAUUAACGAUGAGUGGCGGUUCAGGAGCAGAAUGGAAGGAAUAUUAAGAUACCGCUGACGUAGUCGAGCUGCUCUAACUGAAGCACAUCUUCUCGCUGACCUCGAACUGUAUAUUUUUCGAUUGAUGAAACCUUGAGGAUGGCCACACCCUGUGGAUGAUGUUAGCAGGCAAAUCACCGACGACAAUGGAGCAAGACUCUGACAGUUGUUCCGCCUCCAGCAUCGCAAAUAAGAAUUACGCUGCCAGCUUCUAGAGGCUUCUCCUUCCUAGGUGGAAGCUCCCUGCUUCCUUCAGGGUUUUGGUGUCUAAAGGUUUUGGCUGAGUAAGCUGCUGCUGCUGCUGCUUCAUUCAACUUAAUCUCGACUGAGUGGGCUUCACAGUCUCCAAAACCAGAACUCCUCACAAUUCCGCAAAAUGCAUCAACCACCUUUGGAUUUUGCCAGGUUGUCGGGAAACUAAAAACGUAUUCUACUGGGUGUAGUCUCCAAUCGCUCACCACCGGAUAAGGUAGGUACUCUGAAUUUCUUAUAUAUUGGAUGAUGUGUAGUCGAAGGGCGGUAAAGAAAUCGACAAACCAUGUCUGAACAUCUUCAUGUGUCCAGAACAUCUCAGCGCUAUUCGCAAAAUCAAAGUCAGGGUCAAGAUAUAGUUUGAAACAAUCCACCACAUCCAUUCCAGGAUGCAACUCAUCCGGUUCAUCGAAUCCCCAUGAGAUGGGUUUCCUGCAGCCCGCUCGGUACCAGAGUUUUGUUGGCACUUUAUUCUCUAUCUUCGUAGUUCCUGGCCAUCUAUUUACAGAAAUCGGAGUUUCCAUAUCCACGGUCGAGAAUGCGACUCCUAACAGGACAUUAGGAAACGCCUCGGUUCAAAGUCAACUCACACAAACCGCAUUGUGCAUGUCACUAUACCACGGUCAUCGAACCACGAUGCUCCAAACAAAGGAUGAAAAAUAAUAGUAAUAAUAAUAAAUAAUAACAAUAAUACAAAGAAACAAUACCUGUAAAGGUUAAGCCCAAAUCAAUGCCGAUGAUAAUAGUCUCAGGAGGUAUAUAGCGGCGCGUCAUUGUUCGAAAUAUCUACCCCGUCGAACACAAAAGCU